UGAAUACUCCCUCCGUCCCAAAAUUCUUGUCUUACAUUUGUCUAAACACGGAUGUAUCAAGUCACAUUUUAGUAUUAGGUACAUCCGUAUCUAGACAAAUCUAAGACAAGAAUUUUGGGACGGAGGGAGGUAAAUG
Triticum aestivum (bread wheat) is the source of this 136-nucleotide non-coding RNA. The record is from Rfam. Lineage: Eukaryota; Viridiplantae; Streptophyta; Magnoliopsida; Poales; Poaceae.